CUUGAGGCACAUGCGUGCACGCGGAGAAGGUGUAUACAACAGCAUGUCGCUCUGCGCUGCAUUCACCUGACGUGCUAAAUCGAACCUCAUAGUCCGUUUACGUAUAUAUAGGUACACAUACAUAGCGAACGCGAAUUCACCACAAACGCGGAUUAAUAGCCAGGAGGGAGUAUGCCGGAGAGUCCGUAGCGAUGGCGAUUAAAAAAUACCAUCGAGGGAUGAAUGGCCUUGCCGAAGGAGAUCGAGUUCGGGAGAUAAAAGCCGCGCGAAUGCCCUCAUCUUCUGCCCGGAAUGCACUCGUCUUCAGUUUCACGACAUACUUUUGAUGCGGAUAGAUCCUCUAAAUUCCGCGCUCCUGCUUUCUCCUUCGUGUAUAAAGUAGCAGGCUCUCGUCGUCCUGUGUAUGAAUUCUGUGUAUGAAUUGGCAAGAAAAAUUUUCCAUACAGUGAGUAAUAAUUGAAUAGAGACACUUAUAAUAAAGCCUUUACGGCAAUUAUUAACGACGCAAUUGCGAAAUCUCAAAUGUCAUUUUGUAAGAUGUUUCUAAAUUAUUUACAUGUUUAACGCGUGAUUAAUGUCAUUUGGUAUUCCUUUCAUAUCACUUCUGAAUAAUAAUCCAACCAAAGCAGAUGUUUCAUAUCACUAUUAUUAGACGAUGGAAAUGUCCAAGGAUGUCUGGCUAACCCAGAUAUGUAAGUUCAUCGUGAUCUGCAAUAAUUACAUAAGCAUCUUUUUUUGUAUUAAUAAUCAGUAUCGUAAUUACGCCAUGCUGCACGCAUUUCAUUUAUAUAUGAUUUAUUCAUGAUUUCUAAGUAAAUUAUAUAUUUAAUAAUAUGCGCAAUUUACCUACUAACAUGACGCGCAAUAACGUCUAUGAUCUUCGAUCCUUUCGAAUCAAGUGUUUUGUUCUUUGCAACGGUGCACGUUUAUAUCUAUAAAAGACCAGUGCUUUCAUUAAGAAACAUCAAAGUUGCUCUUCUAUCUCGAAUUUAAUGCUGUUUGAAUGUAAAUUGUAAGACCCUCAUCCUGUUUAAAGUUGAGAACGUUCAAUUAAAAUAUUUUUACAUCGAUCUUGCGUCGAAGAGUUACAAUUUUUUAAUUAUUAAAAUUAUUAUAUAUUUUUUAAGUACAAGCGAUACAAAUUCGUUACAGCGCAAGCUAUAUAGCUAAAAAAAUUGCUCAGUAGGACAAACAUUCGGGAGAAUCGAAAAAUAAAAUAAUAUAUGUGUGCGCCGUACGUAAAAUGCAAGUAAUCUGGUGGAAAAACUCGUCGCCCAUGAUGACACGAAUACACACACGCGAGAGUAAAACCAGUUCUUAUUCGUAUACACCAGCUGGAAUCCCGUUUGCGAGUGUACGUGAAAACCUGCUUCUCGAUCGUAUGCAUGUGUGCGCACUGUUUGCGUUACCGCUUUCGUUUAAGUCAAUGAUACUCGUACACACAUAUAUUGUACGUAUACACACGUACAUUUAAAAUCGCAGAGCUGUGUACGCCACAAACGAAAGUAUAUACACGAGACAGCCUAUAGACCUGCGCCCCAUGAUCUUCCGCGUGCGCGGCCGUUUUACACUUAACAGUUACAAUCCGUGGACCUUCCAAACGAACAAAGAAGAUACGUAUACAUUUGAAAAAUCCACAGAAACGAUGUCUUUUAGAACGACGUCGUUUCUCCCUUCGCGACAGUCGUUCCAGACCAAGUGCCGUUAAACUUGACACACUUCUCGCUCGUGACAGCCCACUAAAUAUAUAAAAUAUGAAUGCUCGCGUCUGUUUAAGUAUCAGUGCUUAAUUAAUCGCGGUGACGCUUAUUAAGCAUAAUUACAAGUUAAUUUUUAUCGUUAAAAUUAUUCGGAGAAAAACGAAACCGGAAUCACGAACGUUAGAAUGUUCGCCAGAACGUCAGUUUUACGCUUUAAAUAAAUCUCCGUGUCUCUCUCUCUCUCUCUCUCUCUCUCUCUCUCUCUCUCUCUCUCUCUCUCUCUUUUUCUCUCGGCAACUUAUUAUUCCACAUUUACUUCUAGACGAGUCGCGCGAUCUUGUUUGUCGAUUUGGUUCACGUAGCGCGAACACACUUGUAAGAGUUAUAAGUGUCCGUAAUUUCGACGAGGUAGAAAUUACGUAAACAUAAUUCAAAUCUUAGUAUGUAAAGUAAUUCUGUUGCGGGAUAUAAAAUAUAAUUAUAGCGAUUAUCGUAAGUACAUCAUUAUGAGAGUCUCGAUUCUAACGCUUGUAGAAUUCUACGUUGCCUGAUAUGUUCUGUUUAGCUUACAAGACUUCCUACAUAAUUGACAAAAUAAAAUAAACAUAUAUAUUAUACAAAGCAAACAUUUUCAUUUCAAGUUAUUAAAAAAAUUCAAUGUUUUAUGAGAGAAUAUAAGGAUCGCAAAAUUAAUUGUGAGACUUUUUUCAUCCGCUAUGACGUUACGCAAUUGAUAUUGUUUACUUAUAUAAUUCUUUACAUUAAUAUUCACACGAUAUUCGUGGUGCGAUUGCAUUACGUACAAAGUGUAAAAGAGCCUUACGGCGUUUCGCAUGAUUGGGAAACGAUUGUCACGCUUCACAUCCACGAUAGUGGUGGGCAUCAAAGCUUUCUUCUUACCCAUCAUCGAAAUCUCCGCGCGG
Wasmannia auropunctata (little fire ant) is the source of this 2623-nucleotide long non-coding RNA. RefSeq lists it as uncharacterized. The record is from RefSeq and is a predicted model, not a curated record. The transcript has 2 exons. NCBI's taxonomy places the organism in Eukaryota, Metazoa, Arthropoda, Insecta, Hymenoptera, Formicidae.